Molecule: long non-coding RNA, 308 nt
Filed under: Carica papaya (papaya)
Lineage: Eukaryota; Viridiplantae; Streptophyta; Magnoliopsida; Brassicales; Caricaceae
Description: long non-coding RNA (CPAP_LNC015373)
Source: RNAcentral
CGGCGAGGGCUCUGGCGGCUAGGGUUUGGGGUUGGGUGUGGAUGAGAUUAUUUAUAAGCUUCCCCUUUUAAUCUAAAUCGUCCAUCAUGAUUUAAUCUGGACCGUCUAAUCGCGAUUAAAUUAAAAAUGAAUCUGGACCGUCCAUCACGAUGCGAUCUGGGCCGUCCCUGCGUGAUUCAAUCUGGGCCAUCCGCAUGCGUGAAAUCUGGGCUGUCUGCACGCGCUUUUGAUCUGGGCCGUCCGUGAGCGCGGGAACAGAUCUCAGCCAUCCGAUCGUGCGCACGCGGAUCGCCCACGUGGCUCCGUUC